Molecule: long non-coding RNA, 2019 nt
Organism: Pelmatolapia mariae (spotted tilapia)
Lineage: Eukaryota; Metazoa; Chordata; Actinopteri; Cichliformes; Cichlidae
Exons: 3
Source: RefSeq, a predicted model, not a curated record
GGUGCAAGAGUGAUGUUGGGUCAACGUCACACUUCAACGUUGCUUCAAUGACGUCGCCUGAUAUUGACUCAACAUUGUUUCAUUUGUCUACAGUGUUUCUUCUGUGGUUCGUGUACAGAAACCUGUAAACAGACAGGUACUUUUAGCACUACUACUCGUGCUGAGCACUUAACGUUGAGCCAUUCUGUCUUACUCACAGGGUCCAGUUUCCUGCACAGAACAGACAUUACUGCUACUGCAUGUGCUGAAGACCCAAUUAGGUAUUUAUUAGGUGUCGUCCUCCAGCUUAAGUAGGAAGCUGCUGAUCACACAGUUAUUCACAGGUGAGUUAAUCAUCUGCAAGAGCUGGCAGCAGGGAGCAGGAGACGGACCACCUCUAAAAUACAAGGUGUGUUUAAUCCAUAAUCACACACAGAGACAUAAACACCAGAGCAUCAUGGCAAAACAAAGAGUGAGUAAGAUGUGUUGCAACUGUAAUGGAUUUCAGUCUUUAUAAGUGUCACCAUAACAACGGUCUACACUCAUGUACAAACGAGAGGUGCAUCUUCUCGAGUUCAGUGAACUUAUGACUGGGGGGUUAAAACCUGGAUUAUUUUGGUAAACUGGAGGAAUGACAGAUAUCCAUGUACCAACUUUGGAAACAACAUUUUUGGAUGUUUCACCACUGUUUGUAUUUUUCUUAUUACUUGAAGCCUCUAACAGUGGAGACUGGUGGGGGCACAGAGACAACUUACAGGUGUUAAAGGAGAAGUGGAGUGAAGGGACACCCCUCCCCUGCAGGUAGAUUUCCCCAUGUAGCACACUGCAGUGGAAGCUCGGAUACAGAAGCUGUGCUGCACAGAGGGAAAGUGUGGGACAGAUGGAGAGCUGACAUUUCAGAGCUGAAAGAAAGAAUGACUGACCGGGAGUGCUUCCUGGGUUAAAACUGCCAUAGAAAUGAUCAUCUAUAUAAAACUAAAAGCUACAAUGGCCAAGCUGACUUUAGAUUGGCUUCCCAUACAGAAGAAUCAUUUUGAAGUGGUUUGUGGCUGUGGUUGUUUCUAGUUUCUACUGGGACCAAUCCUGUUCUCUGCCUUUGUGACCCGAUGAUCUAAAAACAUGUACAAGUCCAGGCUCAGUCUGCGACAGCAACUGCAGUGACUAGCUGUCACACUUUAUGGGUUGUUUUAUGUGCUGUGGUGCUGAACUUUCUGUUUGCUAAGCCUAACUUAGUGGCUUAGUGAACUAAUAUGUCUGUGGAAGGUUCUCAGUCAUCCAGGUCAUCGUAGUCUGAGGAGCUUGGAAAGAAAAAUGCGUCUGGACUUUAAGUGCUUGAAGACGUUUCACCUCUCAUCCGAGAAGCCUCAAGACAUGCUUCCCCCACACUGGAUCCUCACCAAUUUGCCUAUCGAAUCAACAGGAGUACAGAGGAUACUGUACCCACAGCGCUUCACUGUGUACUCUCACACCUGGACAAGAAUGCUGUUUGUUUCCUUCAUGUGGAAACAGAAAAUGGGCACAAGAACAGUUUAAGGGAGGAAAGAGUUUGAUUGUAUAGUUCGGGUCACUCCCUUGGUGAGGAAUGUCAAAUGAAGGAGAGUGACAGCGAGUAAGAGAAGAUCCCAGAAUGAUGUCUAAAGAACAGUUAGGAGAUCGUGUGUGUCUGUGUGUCUUUAGAGGACACUUUGUGAUGUAAGGAGCCAGGAUGUAGUUCCACGCAGAGCCGUUAGACACAUUCAGACACACAGAAACUUCUACAACUGCAGAUACAGAUGUAUGCAUCAUGCGUGGUGUCACACAGAGGUCAUGUAUUAGCCCAGGCACAGACCUGAGCCACAGCCACCCCCAAGUAAUUCAUAAACAAAUCAUCUGCUGAUCGGAAAGUUAGUGGUUGGUGGUCUGUGUGCCAAAGUAUUCCUGAACCCAGUUUGCUUCACUGGAGUGUGAAUGUAGAAAGUGCUAUAAAAAGCAGUCUGUUAUUUCAUUGUUACUAAACACUUAUAUGAGAAUCAGCUUGUUUGUUAAAAUAAAAAUGAAAAU